This 404-nucleotide ribosomal RNA is filed under the name bacterium. Its description in RNAcentral is "partial 16S ribosomal RNA". It matches the Rfam family "Bacterial small subunit ribosomal RNA", at positions 355 to 776 of the family's 1533-position model. The record is from RNAcentral.
UGGGGAAUAUUGCACAAUGGGGGAAACCCUGAUGCAACAACGCCGCGUGAGUGAUGACGGUCUUCGGAUUGUAAAGCUCUGUCUUUAGGGACGAUAAUGACGGUACCUAAGGAGGAAGCCACGGCUAACUACGUGCCAGCAGCCGCGGUAAUACGUAGGUGGCAAGCGUUGUCCGGAUUUACUGGGCGUAAAGGGAGCGUAGGUGGAUAUUUAAGUGGGAUGUGAAAUACCCGGGCUUAACCUGGGUGCUGCAUUCCAAACUGGAUAUCUAGAGUGCAGGAGAGGAAAGGAGAAUUCCUAGUGUAGCGGUGAAAUGCGUAGAGAUUAGGAAGAAUACCAGUGGCGAAGGCGCCUUUCUGGACUGUAACUGACACUGAGGCUCGAAAGCGUGGGGAGCAAACAGG